GACAAACGCUGGCGGCGUGCUUAACACAUGCAAGUCGAACGGUACUCCUACGGGAGUAUAGUGGCGGACGGGUGAGUAACACGUAGCUAAUCUACCCUGAUGUGGGGAAUAACCCCUCGAAGAGGAGCUAAGACCGCAUAAGUUCUCUCUUGUUAGAGAGAGAAGAAACUUUAGGCAGUGAAAAGACCAGAGGCGUUAGGAUGAGGCUGCGGCGGAUUAGCUAGAUGGUGGGGAAAAGGACCUCCAUGGCGACGAUCCGUAGCUGGUCUGAGAGGACGACCAGCCACACUGGGACUGAGACACGGCCCAGACUCCUACGGGAGGCAGCAGUGAGGAAUAUUCCACAAUGGGCGCAAGCCUGAUGGAGCGACGCCGCGU
RNAcentral lists this ribosomal RNA (378 nucleotides) under uncultured bacterium. Its description in RNAcentral is "bacterial SSU rRNA". It matches the Rfam family "Bacterial small subunit ribosomal RNA", at positions 28 to 402 of the family's 1533-position model. The record is from RNAcentral.